AUGCCAAAUCUAAUUUUUCUCCUCCCAGUUUCACUUUCCCUCUAAAUCCCUAGUUUCAACCUCACACGAUUUUUUUGCUUUCGCUCUCCAAAUUCGCUUUCCAAAUUCUCAUUCUCUCGCCGCCAUCGUCUUGUCUUCUCUCUCGCAUCUCAACUUCGCCAGUGACAUUUGGAUUGGAUUGGAUUGCAAUUUCCUGUUACGCUCGCUCGUGUUCUACUUGCGGUGUUGAAUUCACACCUGGAAAUGUAGGAGACGAGAAAUCACAUGCGCAAUUUCACAAAAGUUUCAAACAAGGAAUCCAAUUCAGAGGUUUGACUAAUGAAAGGAUUAUUUCUUCUCAUAAGAGUGGUGGAAUUAUUUUGGUGUCUAAUACUGAGCAAUCUUCUUAUAGAAACCAUCAACAUUGAUAGGUUGAAGAAGUUGUGAAGAUGAUGGAAAUUGAGUCAGGAAGGGAUAGCUCAUCAGCACUUUAAGGACAAUAAGGAUUUGAUUGAUAAGGUUCAGUGAUGUCUGGUUGAUAAUAGAAGUUUAUUGUAGAAGUUUAUUGCAGUGUGCGCAAGCAUUCAUGGCCACUCACUUAUCGGUAAAGACGAUGCCACACACCUAUUACAAAUAUCUUAUUGUGUUAUUAAAAAUAGAAGCUGCCAGUAUCAUGGAAAUGAAGACUUACAAUACAGAAGUUGCUUUCCUAAAAUAUUGAUGCACCCAAACAAUUUACAAUGGUUGCAUUAGUUUGAUGAUGGAAACUCACCAAUUUACAACACCAGGCUAUUGUAGCAGAUCUGCAGGACGCAAUUCACAAGCGAAGUAAGUGACCAAUUUGUUUCCGAGUUUGAAGUGUUUCAUGUUUGAUAUCUUCUUCUCAUCAGUUGCUUAUUGUAUGAAAAUAUGUGUAGUAACUUUAGGAUAAGAUCUUGCAUUUGUAAAGUAUUCUUCAUUGUCAAAUAGUUUAAUACUGAAUAAUAGUACCAGUCAUUGUUGAGAGAGACUCACAGGAGCCACUAGGGAAUGAUGUUUCCGUUCAACAAGCUGACAACAUCAUCUUCUUGGAUGUUGUUGGAGGAGUGGACAAGAAGGGACGCAUAUAUGGUUUGGGUCCAGAAGUAGAGAGGUACAAGCGAUCUAGAUUUUCCACUUAUGACGGUAUCUCAUCAUCUGAAUAUCAACACAUGAGGACUAUAAUUUCUGAAUUGUCCGCUGAAAAUAUGACUCUUAAAGAGAAAUUGAAGACUCAUGAGGAGUUGAUUCACCAAUCCCAGGAAGAUUCGCGUUUGCUUAGGGAGCAAUUAUUUCAAUUUAUGGAGAAGUUUUCUUUGAGUCAUCUACCUCCACGUUCGGAUCCACCUCCACCUCCACCACCUACUACUUGAUACAUAUAUUUAGUUAUGGUUGUUUUGAGUGUUUGGUCGUAUACACUUAAUUUCAAAAACAAUGCUUUUUUGAUAAAAAAAUAACAAUGUUAGUAGUAUUAGUUUCAAGAACAAUGUUAUAUUAGUUAUGGCUUCCAUGUAUUUUGGUGAUUGUGUAUAAAUUCUUAUGAACACAAUUUAAAAAGUAUUUCUUAUUAAA
This is a long non-coding RNA of Trifolium pratense (red clover), 1569 nucleotides long. RefSeq lists it as uncharacterized. Lineage: Eukaryota; Viridiplantae; Streptophyta; Magnoliopsida; Fabales; Fabaceae. The transcript has 6 exons. The record is from RefSeq and is a predicted model, not a curated record.